This 6297-nucleotide long non-coding RNA is filed under the name Bemisia tabaci. RNAcentral's name for it is "lncRNA ENSSSA2NGG003799". The record is from RNAcentral. Lineage: Eukaryota; Metazoa; Arthropoda; Insecta; Hemiptera; Aleyrodidae.
AACAGUAGAUCAAACUUGAUUAAGCCAAUUUUAGAUUAUUAAAGUAUCUAUCAGAGGAAAUUGGCAGAAGUAUUAAUUUUUUCUCAAUUUUUCUUUCAGGUUACUUGCAAUUGCAGUGUCCGUGGCAAAUACGAUUAUUCAUCAACGUUCAUACUAUCCAAGCUGGGCUUUCAUCGGUGGAUCAGUCAAAGAGACUGUCAUAGCCUUUGUGGAAUGCGUUAUGAAUAAUUUAAAGCUGAAGAGGUUAGCGGCUAGCCAAUGGAUGCAAAAAUCUUCACUCAUUCAGUUUCAUCCCAAGGUCCACACUGUAUUUCGAAGCCGGAGUGUACUGGGUGGAGGAUAGCAACGGUGUCCUCGGGAAGAGUCACAUCAAACUUCACCCGAACACCAACUUCGUCUACUUCGAGCCGGGGACCUACAUCAAGGGGGCGCUCGAGUACACGACCGCCAAAGACUUCUUCACCGUCGGCCACGGCGUCCUCUCCGGCGAGAACUACGCCUACCAAGCCAACACGCUCCAGGGCUACGUUUCCAGCAAGGAUGACAAGUCCAGUCUCAGACUUAUCUCGCACCAGGCGGUGAGCGACAACCAGACGUGGACGUGCGUAGGCGUGACGCUCAACGCUCCGCCGUUUAACUCGGUGGACCUCUUCCCGAGAGAGGCGACCAAUCACGAGGAGGACAACAGGGUGAGGAUCCGGGUCGAGGACUACAAGCAGGUCGGGGCUUUCUAUUUCCAGACGGAUGGCUUGCCCGCCUACGGAGGCUCCAUCACCUCCGUCUUCCUCCACGCCAACGACGACGCCCUCAAGCUCUACUACUCCGACGCCCACGUCACCGACGUCGUCGUCUGGAAGGUGCACAACGACCCGGUGAUCCAGCUGGGUUGGAAGCCGCGGAACAUCUCGAACGUGGUGGUGGAGACGGUGGACGUGAUCCACAGCCGGUGGGCGUUCUCGCAGACGGCGGUGCCCUCGGCGAUCAUCGGGGCCUCGCCGUACUACAUGGACCCGAAGCUCGUCGACGCUGGGCGGACCGUCUCGGCGGUGGUGCGGAACCUCCGCUGCGAGGGGAAGUGCGCCGCCCUCCUCCGCAUCGCCCCGAUGAACAACUACGACCUCCGCAUCGAGACGGUGCGCUUCGACGAGCUCCUCGCCGACGACCGCGCCCGGCUCGGCAUGAGCCUCGUCGGCACCAAGAUCAGCGACCACGAGGACGCCUACGUCCAGGGGCAGGAGCUCCUCCGGAUGGGCAUCCACGUCCGGGAUUGGCUCAUCGGCGGCCGGAGGGUCUGCGCCGACAACUGGCGCUCCGAGGAGCUCGGACAGCUCAACUUCAACGUCGGCUUUUGGGGACAGUGGAGCAUCGAUUGAACCUCGCGAGGUUCCAGGUUCUUCGUGAAUACCUCGUCCCGAAAUACAGUAUUCUCUUGCUAUAACGUCACUCAUAUGAACGUAUUUAUGCGAAAAGGAGAUAUGUGCAAGUGGAAAGAUGGGGUGUGCUCGUUAGUUGGGUCAUAAGAAACAAUGUAAAAGUGGAUAUAGUUCCUUUUGAGAAAAUUGAAUAGCGGGAUUUGACAUUAAAUCAAAAGGAGCUAAGCGCCAAAAUAUGCUAACUCAUGAGCCGCGAGCAUGGCAAGAGAGCGUUGUGGACAGGGUCAUGAGUUAAUGCUCGACGACGGCGAUGUCCCGUCGGACCUCCGCUUUUUCAUUGCCGCUGACGUCACUGGCGCUUUAUAUUCCCCAUUCAUUCUUAUGGCCGAACCACUAACGAGCACACCCCAUCUUUCCACUUCCUCAUAUCUCCUUUUCGCAUAAAUACGUCCAUAUUAUAACAAAAAUCUCUCCUUGGCGAAGGUAUCGCCCCUAUGACGACACUCAUUAUAACGAAAAUCUCUCUUUUGCGAAGGAAUCGCCCGUUCCCUUGAACGAUUUUCCGGCUAUAAUGAAAAUCUCUCUUUUGCGAAAUAAUCGCCCGGUCCCUUGAACGAUUUUCCGGCUAUAAUGAAAAUCUCUCUUCUGCGAAGGAAUCGCCCGGUCCCUUGAACGAUUUUCUCGCUAUAACGACACUUAUUACUUCAACAGCUUACGUAGUAGCGAUUCUUGAAUAUUGGCAACACCGGUUUCCGCCAUUUAAAUAUAUGUAAAAUAAUCGAUUGUAUCACUUAUAUCGAUUACAUACAAUCGAUUAUUUUACAUAUAUUUAAAUGGCGGAAAAACGGUGUUGCCAUUAUGCAAGUAUCGCCACUACCUAAGGGUUCCCUCAUCAUUACUACCUUUUAACGAAAUCGUUUCGAUAGCUCACUAGGUAUCGAUAGGACAUCCCUACCGUCUCGUCUGCUCACAAUUGAAUAUUUAAAAAAUAUUCUGAGCACGUUUUCAGGACAGGAGACUUUCUAAGAAUAUUUUCCGAAAAGUUCUCAGAAAAUGCUUUAUUUUUCCUUCUGGAAAAUAAUAAAUUGUUCGUCUGGAUGUUUUGAGCACAUUCGCAGAAAUUAAUGGAUAAACGCGACCGAAUUGGAUGAACAUGUCUACUGCACAUAAUUGAUACAGUCAUCGGAAUAGACAUUCGUAGUUCAAUUUGAAACUACUUCCAACCCAUUUUUUUCCCAAACUCAACUUGUCGCGUAUCUAUGCAACUCAGUCCAACUUUCCGAGAAACCAAAAAAGUUUUCGGCCGAAUAAAACAUGCCUCGUGGUACCUCAGAAUGAUAGUAGGUCACUUUACCCCACGAAAAAGUUGCCUGUUUAUCUUCCAUUCUUCUAUUAAUGUAUUUAUUAAUUAGUUUUAUGACCAAAGCUUUGAAAAUUGCCACCAAAUAAUUCUCAGCUGUCUUCGCACUCUGCGCUGAAGUACUUUUUGACAUGAGCUAUUGAAACUCCAGCUCCGGGUGUAGUUAAUUUGAAAAAAUCAGAAUUUUGUAAUUAACCAUUAGUACCUCAUCAAUAUUGACCCAUACAUGUAACAAUAUCCUUGCCAUGAAGUUGAUUUUUGCAGCAAAGGCUUCCUCAUAUUUUCUUCAACGCUGUAAAAGUUUCAUUUGUUACCUCAUUCUAAUUAAAUAGAGAUGUUAGUACCUAUGGUGUGCAUGAGGUAUCAGUACUUAUUUAUCUCGCGAAAAAUACUCGUGCAACAGCGCAAAAGUACUCGAAAAUUUUUCCAUGACUUACUGUCGGACUGUGUAGGCUACCUUUAAAUCAUGAUUCAUAAAAAUUCUCGGAUUCUUGUACGAGAUGAAAGAAAAUUCUAAACCUAAAAAUAUUCGAAAAUGUCGUCUAGUUUUAUUUUCCACUGCCCUUGACAAUAAGUCAAAUUUCAGGUAAUUUCCGGAAUUUCCAAGAAUUCUCUUCAACUAUGAGAUCACUCUAAAAAUCAACACAUUGUUCUGAAUUUUGACGUUGCAGAAGACAAAAGUAGCGGCAUAGUACCAAAUAAUUAGUUCUCCUCAAAAAUGAUACCUCCAGGCUCCGUCCAUUGGAUCUGCGAAAACUCAUGCCUACCGUACUUAGAAGCGGGUUGAGGUUUAUGACUGAAAGGAAAUUGCUUCCACCAGUCACUUUUUCCGAGAAGAAAAAAAGGAAGCCGAGGUCGUGUCGGGAGCUCAUCAUAAAAUGUCUCUGUUAGUGAUGUCAUGAGACAACGCUUUAGAGGCCCGUUUUGAGGUCACGGGUUUUUACAGUUUUUCUGAGCUCGUCAUGUAUUCUCGUCGCAAAAGUACACAACGAAUAGUCGAUCGAAGUUUGAAAUUAAAUUCCACCUCUUUAUAACACCUCCAAUCGGGUGUAUUAUCCAAAUUGUUAUACUUAAAAUUUUACAGUCGGCAAACGGUUCGAUAGUCUUCGUAAAAAACGUUUACGAAUAAUUUAGUUUGACACACAUUUAGACGUGCAAUUUCGUCCAAUUUAAGAUUAGAUUAUGUAAAUUUCUAACGUGAGCUCUCUAAAUUCCCUGAAACUGGUACAUCCUAAAUGAGUGCCGCUUGGAAUCGCAUUUUAGGUCCAGAUUAAAUACUUUUUUUUCGAGUUUUAAAGUGCCAAAGUCUGUAUUUUUGGGAAAGUUUCUCGCCCUUCAAUAUGACACGGAGUCAGGCAGAAUGGGCCUUAAGGCGGAGGAAAGAGGGUAAUAAUUAACGCAGUUGAGAGAGGUUAACUCUGCAUCAUUUGGCGCAACACCUUAACUCCACAUUGUGACCUCCGUGAGCACAGUUCAAGGAUGAGAACAUAAACGAAGAAUUAGAGAAAAUCUCUCGGAGUGUGCCAGCGAUGUCACUUAGGUUCUGACAUAAUUGAUUUAAAAUUCUAAGUAAUAAAACAUCACUUUAAAUCGAAAAUAUGACUUGAAAUGUCGACCCAAAAUUAGGGAAGCAUUAUAGGAAGCGUUCAUCAUUGCUCUGAGAAAAAUUUCCUGUUGGAUCUAUAGGAAUUCCUGUUAAAUCUGCCUUUCCUCUGACAGGAGUCCCUCGUUGAAACAGCUGGAAAUCUCCUUGUCCCAAACAGUAUUCCAAUUAUUUUCAGGGACGUUCGGUUGCUUUAAAAAGGUUUACGGUUCUUUUUAAGCGAAUUGGCGGAUAAUUGGCGUAUGUAAGAGGACCAUUUUUCUCAGUGUGAGAACUGAAAAUCUACAUUUUUCACCCCUAUCAGGUUUUUCUUUGUACUCAUCAAUUUGAAAUCUCACCCUAAAAAAUUUUGUGUGACCCUAUCAUAAGCAGAAAAAUACUUCAUUUCUCAAAGAAAUUGUGUUGUACUUCUUAUUUCUGGUGUCUAAGAUGAGUCAGCGCCUUUGUGAUAAAAUACUUUUACAUUUUUAUAUAUCUUAGGUUACAUUACGUUUAAGUUUUUUGUGCAUUCCAUUAUGCAGUAAACUUCUGUUAUGAUACAUGCCGGUAAAUAUUUAUUACAUAUGUUUAUUUUUCUGUAAAUAUGAUACGAUUUUCCAAGAUGCAUAUACCUAUCGUGAUCGGAGGCUCAUUUAGACCGUGUUUGGCAAAAAAGGAACCAAUUUAAGCCAGCCACAUCAGCCACUGCUAAAAAUCGGGCAUUUUAAUUUUUUACCAGAGAACGUUUGUGCGGCUUAUUCUUUCGAACAAUUUACGGAAUUUGCUUCGUACUGUGCAGAAAAUUUACUGGAAUUUGCUUACACAUCUGCAUUACCGUUUUUAUUGUAACGAUUAAAUUGCCCAAUUAAAUUUGGCAAUAGCUUACGUGACUUUGUUCCUUUUUGCUUAAUGCAGUCCAUUUUUCACUAUUUAGUCAAGCUCGAUCUCGUCUCAGGAACGGAACCUUUUCACAUGUUCUGAGUAUUAAAUUUGUAGUAGCUAGUUUCUGUUCGCACGUUCGUGUCUUCACUACUCGUUCAAUUUUGAAAUUUUGUCUCGUUUUGAAAAAUGAUUGUUCGUUUUGUCAGAUUUUUGUACAUAAAAACCGUAAAGGUGUCUAUUUGUUUUCAAUUUGGAAAAUAAAACCGGAUGAUUGAGAAUGGCUCUCAAUAUGAGGACACUAUUAUUACGUCACCUUCCCAAUUUCUCAUCAAUCGAAUCGUAGACAUUAAAGAACAGCUGAGCUAACCUCAUAUACGGGCAGGUGCAAAUCGCGCUACGAGAAAGGUCACAGAACAGGGUCAAUCAUCAAGCGGACCAUGCCCCUAGCCACCUACACUGCCGUGCUAAGGAAAAACGCUGUAUGAACCUUCAUGCGUUGCCAAAUUUCCCUUCAUAAAAAGCGAAUUUCCAGGUAAAUAUAUGAAUAUUUCCUCCCAGUUUUUCAGAUAAUUUAGUUCACAAUUUUACCUAUGGAUUCUGAAAAUUUAAAGGAAAAAUAUUCAGAACUUUCCUCAAAAAUGAACAUUUUAUUGAAGGAAAUUUGGCAACUCUCGAAUGUUCAGACGGCGUUUUUCCUUAGGAUGACAGUACAGCCCAGCGUUUACGAAACAGUCGACAACGUUGGGAAGAAGAGAUGUUCAAUUUUUUUUUUUUUUCCACUUGAAAAUAUAGCGAAAAAUUGUCUCUGAUUAAAGGGCAAUUUAUUCCGCUGAUUUUUUUGUUUUUCCAUUUGGAGGAAAAUUUCUCUAUCAUAUUCCUUGGGUGAUUUUUUUUCAUUCCUCCAUCAUUCGAACGUGGUUUUUAUUUUCUAGCCCGAGCCUUCAUUUUCGUCAUCAACGAUAUAGUUAAAUUUUUCUUUGAUUUUUAAAGAUUAGAAAUUUUUCACUCGAAGUGCUUUCCUUCGAAGAAAAGAAAAUGCUUUUCUAAACCAAGACAAUUUUUUUCGCUGAUCUCCAUGAAGGCGUAUCCCCGGAGCAUGG